CGUAGGUAACCUGCCUGGUAGCGGGGGAUAACUAUUGGAAACGAUAGCUAAUACCGCAUAACAUUGACUAUUGCAUGAUAGUCAAUUGAAAGGUGCAAAAUGCACCACUACCAGAUGGACCUGCGUUGUAUUAGCUAGUUGGUGGGGUAACGGCUCACCAAGGCGACGAUACAUAGCCGACCUGAGAGGGUGAUCGGCCACACUGGGACUGAGACACGGCCCAG
This 224-nucleotide ribosomal RNA is filed under the name uncultured bacterium. RNAcentral's name for it is "partial 16S ribosomal RNA". It matches the Rfam family "Bacterial small subunit ribosomal RNA", at positions 116 to 334 of the family's 1533-position model. The record is from RNAcentral.